This is an RNA transcript of Ananas comosus (pineapple), 7983 nucleotides long. It is a transcript of the gene named protein CHROMATIN REMODELING 4, with no coding region annotated. The record is from RefSeq and is a predicted model, not a curated record. Lineage: Eukaryota; Viridiplantae; Streptophyta; Magnoliopsida; Poales; Bromeliaceae. The transcript has 12 exons.
CCCAAACCCUCGCCCCCUCCUCCCCCCUACAAACACAAGCCGCCUCCUCCUCCUCCUCCUCCUCCCCCCUCCCUCCUCUCCGGCUCCGUAGACGAGCACGAGGAACAAGAAGAAGAAGAGGGGAUUUUGGAGCCCUAGGGUUAGGGCUUUGGAUUUGGGCGGCGAGCGUGAGCUGUUUCGAUUCUGGUUUGUGUUGACUCCCUAGAUUUCCCUUGUGUUUGCUUCAAUUGGUGUGGAUUGCGUGCUGUUUUGAUCCGAUUCUGUUUUUCCACUCUCAUCACCCUUGCUUCGCCAUUCUACGUUGUUGUAAUUUGACUGUGGUGUGCGAAAGGGGCAGGUUUGUGUAUGUGUUGGUGUAUGAUAGAGGUUUUUGCUAUUUCUGAUUUAGAGUUCUGUUUACUAAUUUGAUAUGGUUGAAUGUGCUUCCGCAAUAACUUACUGAAAUUGUUCAUGUGAAUCUGGUGCUGUUGUUUUGAGUGGUUUUGGAUAUGCCGCUGGGUUAUUUUGUGAUGCAGAUUAAGCGAGCGCGAUAGUCGUAGGAAGUCCUCAGGAAGCAGCAGUUUGUUCAUUUGCUGUUCAUGGGACGUGAUUGAGGCAUAAAAAAUAAGGAAAGACGACUCUUUGUGCAAUACUAAGAUGGAUAGGAAUUGGGUUUUAAAGCGGAAAAGGAGACGGACACCAAUUGCAGCAGACCCGUCUAAUGAGAAAGAGAGUACUCCGCUACCGUCAGACCCUACAAGGAGUAAUAGUUCAAGCAAAAAGAAACUGAAGGGCGGAAGUGAUGUUCCCGAAUCUGCCCAGAAGAUAAAAGGACAUGAUGGGUAUUACUAUGAAUGUGUCGAAUGCGAUCUUGGUGGCAGUUUGCUGUGCUGUGACAGCUGUCCACGAACCUAUCAUUUGGAAUGUCUCGAUCCACCUCUUAAGCGCACACCACCGGGAAAAUGGCAAUGUCCAAAGUGCUGCGAGGGGAAAGAUACCUUGACUCCAGUAGGUAGUAAGAAGUCAAAUUCUAGAAGAGCAAGAACAAGGAGGAUUUUUGAAAACGCCAACAUACAGAAACCCCAUUCUAGUGAAAAUUCUAUUCCUGGAAAGAAUAAAACAAAUGACAAAGGAAAAGUUCCUUCUCAUCCUAGAUCUUCAUUAAAUGAGAAUCAGUCAGACUCCUCUAAUGAUAAUUCAUCUUGUAGCAUGAAAUCAAAACAAUCAUGUGAUGGUAAAUCCAGGGACCGUAGAAAAAAACGUUUGUCUCCGUUUUCUUGGAGUAAGCAUUCUACUGAGUUCCAUUUGCUUGUAAAGACAUCGAAGUUGGGCCCUAUUGAAAAGUCUCCGGAGAAGAUGUCCAACGAACCCAAAAGUGAAAUAAAGACAAAGAAACUUACAUCAUCAUCAUUAUUGCCCUCUCAGAAAUCCAAAAAAAAGAAGCAACAAGAUAAGAGACUAGACAAAAAGAAGAAGUCUAGAACUGAAAAGUUGAAACAUGUGUCAUCGGUUUGUAGUGAUUCAUCUGAGGAAGCAUUUUCUGGCUCUGCUUACAGUGAGUUAAUUCCAAAGAGAAAAUCAUCAGAUCGACAGAAAUCUGGAAUUGUUAGAAAGGAAGAUAGUAAGAAACUCAAAUCUUCCUACCAAAAACAGCACGAGAUUUCUGCUAUCUCUGCACCUUCAGCACGAGAAUUUGAAGAAAAAGAAGCUGUAAGAGAAAAGACAAUGAAAUCUCAUGGGAGUCCAUGGGAUGGAGUUCAACAGGUUGACCGCAUCCUGGGGUGUCGGGUGCAAACAAGUUGCUCAGUUUCAGAUAAUGAUGGGAAAGUAUUAACAGAGUAUUAUGAAGGCAAAUGUUUUGGAAGUCAAAAGGAUAUCAAAGGUGCUCUGAGGGAGGAAUCCCUUAGCCUAGUAGAUUGUAAUGAUGGAAAUAAGGAUGCUGAUAAUACAAUUUCAGUAGAUGAAGAGUAUAGCGGAAAAUUACAUCAGACUAAAGAAUGUCUGGAUAAGGAUGAAGUACUGACAUCAACUGCUGGACCUUCAAAGGAUCUAUCUACUUCUGGAAAACAUACCGAUUUGCAAGAGGAUAUAAUAAUAAAUGAAGCAAAUAUUGGAGAAGAAACCUCUAAAAGUAAUGUUAGUUCUUUGAAACAUUUUCCAUUGUCUCAACCUUGUGAUCUUGAAGGUACCAAUAGAUCAAAGAUGGGGACAAAAGCAGGUGAUGACCUACCUAGUGUUAUAUAUGAGUUUCUAGUUAAAUGGGUUGGUAGAUCAAACAUUCACAACAGUUGGAUUUCUGAAUCCCUACUGAAGAGUUUGGCAAAAAGGAAGUUGGAGAAUUACAAAGCAAAGUAUGGUUUAGCUGUGAUAAACAUUUGUGAGGAACAGUGGAGCCAACCACAGCGUGUUAUUGCUCUCCGUGUUUCUAAAGGUGGUAGUGAAGAAGCUUUGGUUAAAUGGUGCAGCUUAUCUUAUGAUGAAUGCACUUGGGAAAGAUUAGAUGAACCCGUUGUUAAGAAGUUUGCUCAUUUAGUCACCGAGUUCAAAAAUUUUGAAUCCCAAACACUCGAAAGGGAUGCCAGAAGUGGUUUUCCUAGGGCACGAGGUGAUGCUCAAGAACUUGUUUCCUUGGUCGAGCAGCCAAAAGAGCUUCAAGGUGGCAUGCUUUUUCCACAUCAGCUAGAAGCUUUGAACUGGCUUCGUAAAUGCUGGUACAGGAAUAGGAAUGUAAUCCUUGCUGAUGAGAUGGGUCUUGGGAAGACGGUAUCUGCUUGUGCUUUUAUGUCGUCUUUGUACUGUGAAUUUAGGGCUAAAUUGCCAUGCUUAAUCUUGGUUCCUCUCUCUACAAUGCCUAACUGGCUCGCUGAAUUUGCAUCUUGGGCUCCUCAUUUGAAUGUUGUGGAGUAUCAUGGUGGUGCAAAAGCAAGGUCCAUUAUCCGCCAAUACGAAUGGCAUGCCAGUGAUCCAAUUGGGUCUGGUAAGGCAACAAAGGCCUAUAAAUUCAAUGUUUUGUUGACUACCUAUGAGAUGGUGCUUGCAGACGCCUGUCACCUUCGUUCUGUCUCUUGGGAAGUUCUUUUAGUUGAUGAAGGGCAUCGUCUAAAGAAUUCUGGGAGCAAGCUUUUUAGCAUGUUGAAUACAUUCUCUUUUCAGCAUAGGGUGCUGUUGACGGGAACCCCUUUGCAGAACAACAUAGGCGAGAUGUAUAACUUACUUAACUUCUUACAGCCUGAUUCAUUCCCGUGUUUAUUGGCAUUUGAGGAGAAGUUUAAUGAUCUCACUACAGCAGAAAAAGUGGAGGAGCUGAAAAAACUUGUUUCUCCUCAUAUGCUUCGAAGGCUUAAAAGAGAUGCUAUGCAAAACAUUCCCCCAAAGACUGAGCGCAUGGUUCCCGUUGAGUUGACAUCGAUACAGGCUGAGUACUAUCGUGCAAUGCUGACAAAGAACUACCAAAUAUUACGUAACAUGGGAAAAGGUGGGGUUCAGCAGUCAAUGCUAAACAUUGUAAUGCAACUCCGAAAGGUCUGCAAUCAUCCAUAUCUCAUUCCAGGUACUGAACCUGAAUCUGGCUCAGUGGAAUUCCUCCAUGAAAUGCGUAUAAAAGCCUCAGCAAAGCUGAUGUUGUUGCACCAAAUGCUCAAGAUUUUACAGCGCGAUGGGCAUCGUGUCCUUAUAUUUUCCCAGAUGACGAAGCUUCUUGAUAUCCUAGAAGAUUACCUGACUAUAGAAUUUGGCCCUAAAACAUUCGAAAGAGUGGAUGGAUCAGUAUCUGUGGCAGAUCGCCAAGCGGCAAUUGCUCGUUUUAAUCAGGACAAAUCUCGAUUUGUAUUCUUGUUGUCUACACGAUCUUGUGGCCUUGGAAUAAAUUUGGCUACAGCAGAUACCGUCAUUAUUUAUGACUCUGAUUUCAAUCCACAUGCUGAUAUACAAGCGAUGAAUAGAGCACAUAGAAUUGGGCAAUCAAGCAGACUUCUGGUGUAUAGGCUUGUAGUUCGUGCUAGUGUUGAGGAGCGCAUCUUGCAACUUGCUAAGAAGAAAUUGAUGCUUGAUCAACUCUUUGUGAACAAGUCGGAGUCUCAGAAGGAAGUGGAGGAUAUACUUCGAUGGGGAACAGAAGAACUUUUCAAUGAUAGUGAUGGCACAAAUGGACAAGAUCAGAAAGAAGCUUCUAUGAUUAAAGAUGAUGUUGUUGUUGCUGAUGGUGAGCAUAAACAUAGGAGGCGGCUUGGUGGUCUGGGAGAUGUUUAUCAGGACAAAUGUGCUGGUGGUUCCACAAAGAUUGUUUGGGAUGACAAUGCAAUCCUUAAGUUACUUGAUCGAUCUGACCUUCAAUCUGCUGUCUCUGAAAGCCCAGACGGAGAUUUGGGGAAUGAUAUGCUUGGAACUGUAAAGUCAGUGGAGUGGAAUGAUGAAGUAAAUGAAGAACCAGGGGUUGCUGAAGCUCUUCCUAGCAUUACUGGUGAUGGUCGUGAGCAGGCAGAAGCUAAAGAAGAGAACCCAACUAAUGGCACCGAGGAAAAUGAAUGGGAUAGGCUUUUACGUGUCAGGUGGGAAAAAUAUCAAUUGGAGGAGGAGGCAGCUCUUGGUCGAGGGAAGCGCUUGAGAAAAGCAGUAUCCUACAGAGAAACAUUUGCAACGAUACCAAGCGAAGCUUUAACUGAGCAGAGUAGUGAAGAAGAGGAUGAGCCAAAGCCAGAAUACACUCCUGCUGGCCGAGCAUGGAAAGAAAAAUACGCCAAGCUCCGCGCUAGGCAAAAAGAUCGAAUUGCCCGAAGGCAUACUAUGGAGAUCUCUUCUUCAACUGGACCUCAGGAGAUGACAGAAUUACAACCGAUCCCUCCAUCUCUCAACGAUGGGGAAGCUCUAAAUGUCAGAAAUAUUGUUCAAGAAACAAGACUACAGGGUUAUCCAAUCAAUCAAGACGAGACCAUGAGUGAAUCUACUACAAAAACAGAAAAGUUCUUAAAGAAUACUCAAAAGAAGUACCGCAGCACCAAUCUGGAUCUUUCUAUUAGAACUCCCAGAAGUAAUCCCUCUGAAAUCACAGGUGCUCCAAAUUCAAUGCCUCCUCCCCACCUUCUUCCUGUUCUGGGACUAUGUGCUCCAACUGCUGAUGAGGUGAACGCAUACCGAAAUUCUCGAUCUGUGUCAAGUCAGAGUGAAAAGAGAGGAACAGGCAAUGGAAUGUCAGAGCUUCCCUUUAUGCCAACUCCUAAUGCUGACCAUUCAACUGAACCGAAUAUUAACGGAAAAACAGCGGCACAGGGAUCUGUGCCACCUCAUACACUUGGAGAGGCUUUGCAUCUUCGGCUGAAGAAUAUCAUUCCAAAUAGCUACUUCCCAUCGUUUCCUUUUCCUCCUACAUCUGGAAGGGGUCCUCAUGAUCCUCUUCAAAGUUCUGGCUCUUCCUUUGCCUCAUUCCAAGAGAAGUUAGGUCUUCCAAAUUUAGUUCUCGAUGAUAAUGCCCAGACAAAGUAUGCAAUUCCACCAGUAAAUUUUAAGCCACCUGUGGAUCUCUUUCCGGGCUUAUCUCUAGGCACAAAUAAGGACUAUCCAACUGAUCCCAUUCAAGGCAUGCCAAAUGUUCCACUAAUGCCCAAUUUUGCCCAUCAUAUAGGUGGUGACAUUUCAAAGGGAAAGCAUCAGAUUCCUGAUCUUCCUACAUUUCUGGGUCUUGGGCAAAUGCAAGCAACACACCCAUCAUUGACUGAAAGCCAUAAGAAGGUUCUCGACAACAUAAUGAUGCGAACUCAAUCUGCAACGAAUAAGCUGAAGAAGAAACUCAAGAGUGAUGCUUGGUCAGAAGAAGAACUUGAUGCUCUCUGGAUUGGAGUUCGUAGACAUGGAAAGGGUAAUUGGGAGGCUAUGCUUAGAGAUCCAAAAUUGAAGUUUGCACACUUUAGGACUCUGGAUGAUUUGUCUACAAGAUGGGCUGAGGAGCAGCACAAAGUUUUUGAUGAGCCAGCUAGUUCAGCCCCUAAAUCUUCUAGGCCUCCGACAUUUCCUGGAAUAACUGAUGGAAUGAUGACUCGGGCUUUACUUGGAAGUAAAUUUUCAAGACUUGGGACGGAGCCACCUAAGUUUCGGUCUCAUCUAACAGAUAUGCAGUUGGGAUUUGGUGAUCUCAGACCUGGAUUUCUCGGUGCUGAGGCGGCCAAUUUUGUUAAUAAAGUUGUUGACAAGUGCUCACUACUCCCAAUAAUGCAACUUGACAAUGUUAGUAGAUCAACUUAUGCUGGAGAAUAUUCUACGGGACCAUUUGAUGGACUGGACAAAUUUGGCAUAGGGUUGGAGCCGUCAUUCCAGCAUAAAAGUCCUUUUAUACCAGAAAAUUUUGGAGCAGUGGACAUAAAUUGCCCCAGUAAUAUGGCUAUGCCGCAUAACCAAGUGGACCUAGGUGUUGCUAAGAACCUCCCUGUUCCAGGUGUUUUCGAAAAUCCACUGAAUAUGUUUCAUGAUUUACAAAGUAAUGCACGGUCAGGUGAAUCCUCAAGGGCAACAAAUCUCGAUCCCAAAAUGUUUUCUGCAAAUUCUCGUAUCAACACCUACAAGGAGAGUAGUAGUUCGAAAUCAAACAGCUUACCCCAUUGGCUUCGAGAAGCUGUUAAUGCUCCGCCAUCAAGGCCACCAGAGCCCGUUCUGCCUCCUACUGUUUCAGCGAUUGCUCAAUCUGUUCGCCUACUGUAUGGGGAAGAGAAGCCGAUGAUACCCUCUUUCACAAUGCCAGGUCCUCCCCUUUCCCUACCCAAGGAUCCAAGGAAAAUUCUAAAGAAGAAGAAAAAGAAGUCACAUAAGCUUCAGCAAUCGACACUUGAGAUACAAUGCUCUAAGGAUUCUGAUCAUGAAACCACUACUAAUGACGGAUUGCCAUCCUUGAACUCAAACAGAAAUUCCCCAUCACCGUCUCCAGAAGAGCUUCAAUUGUUUUCCUCUUCUGUGACUCCUGGAACUUGCACAUCAAAAGUAAAUGAUCUGCCUAGUCCUGGUUGUCAAAAAACUGAAUUUCCUGCAUUUAAUGAUAAUGAAGAACUUCAUAGCAAACGAGAGGGUAUGAGUGGAGAUAUGAAAAGUUUACAUGAAGAGCAAAAAACAUCAAGUUCCUUAUUAGGCUCUUGGGAGAACCCGAAGGAUGAGAAGAGUGAGCGCAUCGAGAGUGGAGGUUCUGGCAAAACUCAAUCUGAUGCAAGCCGAGCUAACCCGCUCGAAAUCACAGAAAUUUCAUCAGAAGAAACAGACUCAAAUGAUAAUCAAAGCAAACGUUGAAUAGCGGGUUCUACUUCCCUUUUUUCUGCUCUCUUCCCCUAUUUCAAGGUUCAAAGGCAGGUCCUUGAAUUUCCUACUUCUAUAUGCAUAGUCAAUAAAUUGUUAUUGAGGUCAAGUUGCAUGGGCAUCUCUCCUUUGUGCUAACACAUGGGAAAAGAUUCUUGCUAAUUCAGUAUUGUCGACCAACAUUCAUUAAAUCUGAGGCUCCAAAUUAGAAAGGCCAUUUAUAUUGUGCAUCUCUACAAUUAAUCUCUCCUCCCCUUUCAGUUAUGAAUACAACAAAGGGUGGUUUCAUAGUACAUAAUAUACCAUGUCUCAUUAGACAACUCAGCUUCUGAAGCUUUUUGGGUGUUUCGGUGCUUCCCUUUUUCUCCCUGUAUAUCUCCAUCUUUUGAUACCAUAUCUAUUAGCUAGUUUUCUACAGUAAGUUGGAACCAGGCUAACCAUAUUCUGCCAAUUUAUUUGAUUGCCCGGCUGUCGUCAUCUUUGCCUAUCUCCUUUUCCCAGAACAGGCUUCAACAUGUCGAGGAAGAGAGCUUGGCUUUAAUUUCUCCAUACCUUUAUUUUGUUUACAUUAAAGUAAUCUAAUGAUUUAGACAUAAUUUGGUACUUUUACCCAUAAAGCUGAUCAUAUGUUGUAGAGAUGUUUAAGGAGUAUUAUCUAUAGCGAGACAUUUGUUUUGCUCAGUGUUAAUUACAUUUAAGUUGCAACUGUUCUUUUACCAGUUUGAAAUUUUGGUA